AGCGAACGCUGGCGGCAGGCCUAAUACAUGCAAGUCGAACGGUCUCUUCGGAGGCAGUGGCGGACGGGUGAGUAACGCGUGGGAACGUGCCCUUUGGUACGGAACAACUGAGGGAAACUUCAGCUAAUACCGUAUGUGCCCCUUCGGGGGAAAGGAUUUAUCGCCAUUGGAGCGGCCCGCGUUGGAUUAGCUAGUUGGUGGGGUAAUGGCCCACCAAGGCGACGAUCCAUAGCUGGUCUGAGAGGAUGAUCAGCCACACUGGGACUGAGACACGGCCCAGACUCCUACGGGAGGCAGCAGUAGGGAAUCUUGCGCAAUGGGCGAAAGCCUGACGCAGCCAUGCCGCGUGAAUGAUGAAGGUCUUAGGAUUGUAAAAUUCUUUCACCGGGGACGAUAAUGACGGUACCCGGAGAAGAAGCCCCGGCUAACUUCGUGCCAGCAGCCGCGGU
RNAcentral lists this ribosomal RNA (449 nucleotides) under uncultured bacterium. RNAcentral's name for it is "bacterial SSU rRNA". It matches the Rfam family "Bacterial small subunit ribosomal RNA", at positions 29 to 521 of the family's 1533-position model. The record is from RNAcentral.